GAAAUGCGAUAAGUAAUGUGAAUUGCAGAAUUCAGUGAAUCAUCGAAUCUUUGAACGCACAUUGCGCCCACCAGUAUUCUGGCGGGCAUGCCUGUUCGAGCGUCAUUUCAACCAUCAAGCCCCGCGCUUGUGUUGGGGACCUGCGGCUGCCGCAGGCCCUGAAAACCAGUGGCGGGCUCGCUGUCACACCGGGCGUAGUAGAUUUUAUCUCGCUCAGGGCGUGCUGCGGGUUCCGGCCGUUAAAAAGCCUUUUUUACCCAAGGUUGACCUCGGAUCAGGUAGGAAGACCCGCUGAACUUAAGC
Molecule: unclassified non-coding RNA, 303 nt
Filed under: plant metagenome
Description: partial contains 5.8S ribosomal RNA, internal transcribed spacer 2, and large subunit ribosomal RNA
Rfam family: 5.8S ribosomal RNA (bases 1-105)
Source: RNAcentral